GUCAGAGGCCUCGAGCGUUAGGCGGAAUCACUGGGCUUAAAGCGUGUGUAGGCGGGCCCGUAAGUGUCUUGUGAAAUCCCACGGCUCAACCGUGGAACUGCUGGGCAUACUGCGGGUCUUGGGCCAACUAGGGGCAGCCGGAACAAGCGGUGGAGCGGUGAAAUGCGUAGAUAUCGCUUGGAACGCCGAAGGUGAAAACAGGCUGCUGGGGUUGCGCCGACGCUGAGACACGAAAGCCAGGGGAGCAAACGGG
This 253-nucleotide ribosomal RNA is filed under the name uncultured bacterium. RNAcentral describes it as "partial 16S ribosomal RNA". It matches the Rfam family "Bacterial small subunit ribosomal RNA", at positions 524 to 776 of the family's 1533-position model. The record is from RNAcentral.